UGAGUUUCCCAUGGUGAUUGUACUAGUGUAUGUGAUGCACACUAGAUAGAACCUAUGGUGAAUCACUAAGCUACAAUAUUGCAUGGACUCUCAACCUUGAGAGGAUAUUGAGUUUAUACCAAAAUCAACAGGAGGAUUUGACCUAUGGGUGAGACUCUAAAGUGGUCACAUAUCCCUAUGGAUUGGGUCAUUGUUGAUGGAGACUAGUGGCAAUAACCAUUCCCAAUAAAGGCACUAUGAUAUCUCAUGGGAUUGAGACAGUGUGUCCUCUUAAGUGAUCCAAAGGACAUGUGAUCAUGAAAUAUGUGGCCACAAUAAUUCC
RNAcentral lists this long non-coding RNA (322 nucleotides) under Vitis vinifera (wine grape). Its description in RNAcentral is "long non-coding RNA (VVIN_LNC003263)". The record is from RNAcentral. Lineage: Eukaryota; Viridiplantae; Streptophyta; Magnoliopsida; Vitales; Vitaceae.